RNAcentral lists this ribosomal RNA (850 nucleotides) under uncultured bacterium. RNAcentral describes it as "bacterial SSU rRNA". It matches the Rfam family "Bacterial small subunit ribosomal RNA", at positions 37 to 889 of the family's 1533-position model. The record is from RNAcentral.
CAGGGGCGGGGUUGCUAACCAUGGCAGUCGAACGAGGGGCAGAUUGAAACCUAGUGAUAUCUGCCCGAGUGGCGGACGGGUGAGUAACGCGUGGACAACCUGCCGCAUGCAGGGGGAUACCGGCUGGAAACAGCCGCUAAUACCGCAUAUGCGCACGGCGCCGCAUGGCGCAGUGCGGAAAGGGAGCAAUCCCGGCAUGCGAUGGGUCCGCGUCCGAUUAGCUUGUUGGCGGGGCAGCGGCCCACCAAGGCGACGAUCGGUAGCCGGCCUGAGAGGGCGGACGGCCACAUUGGGACUGAGACACGGCCUAGACUCCUACGGGAGGCAGCAGUGGGGGAUAUUGCACAAUGGGGGGAACCCUGAUGCAGCGACGCCGCGUGGGUGAAGGAGUGCUUCGGCAUGUAAAGCCCUAUCGGCAGGGAAGAGGCAAGACGGUACCUGACUAAGAAGCCCCGGCUAACUACGUGCCAGCAGCCGCGGUAAUACGUAGGGGGCGAGCGUUAUCCGGAUUCACUGGGUGUAAAGGGAGCGUAGACGGCCAUGCAAGCCAGGGGUGAAAGCCCGGGGCCCAACCCCGGGACUGCCCUUGGAACUGCAUGGCUGGAGUGCGGGAGGGGCAGGCGGAAUUCCUGGUGUAGCGGUGAAAUGCGUAGAUAUCAGGAGGAACACCGGCGGCGAAGGCGGCCUGCUGGACCGCGACUGACGUUGAGGCUCGAAAGCGUGGGGAGCGAACAGGAUUAGAUACCCUGGUAGUCCACGCCGUANACGAUGACUACUAGGUGUCGGGGGACGACAGUGCCCCGGUGCCGGCGCAAACGCAAUAAGUAGUCCACCUGGGGAGUACGUCCGC